AAGGGCGACGAGUUCGCGCAUCGUGACCUUGUUUUCGGGAUGCGGCAGCCCCGUGGCAUUCUUGAAGGUGGCGACCGGCAGCCCGAGAUCGCGU
Molecule: small RNA, 94 nt
Filed under: Sinorhizobium meliloti 2011
Lineage: Bacteria; Pseudomonadati; Pseudomonadota; Alphaproteobacteria; Hyphomicrobiales; Rhizobiaceae
Description: putative ncRNA
Source: RNAcentral